This 73-nucleotide transfer RNA is filed under the name Ailuropoda melanoleuca (giant panda). It matches the Rfam family "tRNA". Rfam says of the family: Transfer RNA (tRNA) molecules are approximately 80 nucleotides in length. Their secondary structure includes four short double-helical elements and three loops (D, anti-codon, and T loops). The record is from Rfam by way of RNAcentral. Lineage: Eukaryota; Metazoa; Chordata; Mammalia; Carnivora; Ursidae.
ACCUGGUUGGCUCAGCGGGUAGAGCAUGCAACUCUUGAUCUUGGAAUUGUAGGUUCAAGCCCCACAUUGGGUG